AGAGAGAGACAUGCGCGCAUAUCAAUAAGCGGAGGAAAAGAAACUAACUAAGGAUUCCCUUAGUAACGGCGAGUGAAGCGGGAAGAGCUCAAAUUUGAGAUCUUCAAGGUUUACCUUGACGAAUUGUAGUUUAAAGAAGUGUUUUCUGCUGAAGUUUUGGUAAAAGUUCUUUGGAAUAGGACAUCAUAGAGGGUGAGAAUCCCGUAUUUGACCAUUAUUUUCAGCUUUGUGAUACACUUUCAAAGAGUCGGAUUGUUUGGGAAUGCAGUCCAAAAUGGGUGGUAAAUUUCAUCUAAAGCUAAAUAUUGGCGAGAGACCGAUAGCGAACAAGUACCGUGAGGGAAAGAUGAAAAGAACUUUGAAAAGAGAGUUAAACAGUACGUGAAAUUGUCAAAAGGGAAGCGUUUGACACCAGUGUUGUUUUCUCGAAAAUCAAUUAAAAAUGGCUCGAUUUUGUAUUGCUGAGACCUUAAAAGCUCACUGUACAUUUUUCGUGUCUUUUUUAAUGCACUUUUCGUUUAACAAGUCAACAUCAGUUUCUUUUGUUGUAAAAGGGUCAUUGGAAGGUGGCUUUCUUUUCGGAGAAAGUGUUUAUAGCCUUUGGCCUCUGCAAUCGAAGAGACUGAGGUCUGCAGCGUAGACUCUUCGGGGUUAGAUACAUUUGUGCUAAGUUAUAGCUUUUUAUAGACAACUUGUUGACUAUAAUUAGUCUUGUAGCUUACUCGCUUAUGCUAUUUUACCUACGCUUAGGAUGUUGAAGAUGUAGCACAUCAU
RNAcentral lists this ribosomal RNA (774 nucleotides) under uncultured Neocallimastigales. Its description in RNAcentral is "partial large subunit ribosomal RNA". It matches the Rfam family "Eukaryotic large subunit ribosomal RNA", at positions 23 to 634 of the family's 3401-position model. The record is from RNAcentral. Lineage: Eukaryota; Fungi; Neocallimastigomycota; Neocallimastigomycetes; Neocallimastigales.